Molecule: long non-coding RNA, 301 nt
Organism: Dicentrarchus labrax (European seabass)
Lineage: Eukaryota; Metazoa; Chordata; Actinopteri; Moronidae
Exons: 3
Source: RefSeq, a predicted model, not a curated record
CAGGUAAGGACAGGUAGAGGACAUCUACAGACAGGUAAGGACAGGUAGAGGACAUCUACAGACAGGUAGAGGACGUAUACAGACAGGUAGAGGACGUAUACAGACAGGUAGAGGAGUUCUACAGACAGGUAAGGACAGGUAGAGGACAUCUACAGACAGGUAGAGGACGUAUACAGACAGGUAGAGGACGUAUACAGACAGGUAGAGGAGUUCUACAGACAGGUAAGGACAGGUAGAGGACAUCUACAGACAGGUAGAGGACAUCUACAGACAGGUACAAGAGGUCUACAGACAGGUAGAG